RNAcentral lists this ribosomal RNA (446 nucleotides) under uncultured bacterium. RNAcentral describes it as "partial 16S ribosomal RNA". It matches the Rfam family "Bacterial small subunit ribosomal RNA", at positions 338 to 795 of the family's 1533-position model. The record is from RNAcentral.
CCUACGGUGAGCAGCAGUCGAGAAUCAUUCACAAUGGGGGAAACCCUGAUGGUGCGACGCCGCGUGGGGGAAUGAAGGUCUUCGGAUUGUAAACCCCUGUCAUGUGGGAGCAAAUUAAAAAGAUAGUACCACAAGAGGAAGAGACGGCUAACCCUGUGCCAGCAGCCGCGGUAAUACAGAGGUCUCAAGCGUUGUUCGGAAUCACUGGGCGUAAAGCGUGCGUAGGCUGUUUCGUAAGUCGUGUGUGAAAGGCGCGGGCUCAACCCGCGGACGGCACAGGAGACUGCGAGACUAGAGUAAUGGAGGGGGAACCGGAAUUCUCGGUGUAGCAGUGAAAUGCGUAGAUAUCGAGAGGAACACUCGUGGCGAAGGCGGGUUCCUGGACAUUAACUGACGCUGAGGCACGAAGGCCAGGGGAGCGAAAGGGAUUAGAUACCCGGGUAGUC